GAUGAACGCUAGCGGCAGGCCUAACACAUGCAAGUCGAGGGGGAGGUUAUCUUCGGGUAACCAAAACCGGCGCACGGGUGCGUAACGCGUAUACAAUCUGCCUUUCACAUAGGGAUAGCCCGAAGAAAUUUGGAUUAAUACCUAAUGGUAUAUAAGAGCGGCAUCGUUUUUAUAUUAAAGCUACGGUGGUGAAAGAUGAGUAUGCGUUCUAUUAGCUAGUUGGAGAGGUAACGGCUCCCCAAGGCGACGAUAGAUAGGGGUUCUGAGAGGGAUGUCCCCCACACUGGUACUGAGAUACGGACCAGACUCCUACGGGAGGCAGCAGUGAGGAAUAUUGGACAAUGGUCGGAAGACUGAUCCAGCCAUGCCGCGUGCAGGAUGAAGGUCCUAUGGAUUGUAAACUGCUUUUGUAAGGGAAGAAUAAGGAGUACGUGUACUUUGAUGACGGUACCUUACGAAUAAGCAUCGGCUAACUCCGUGCCAGCAGCCGCGGUAAUACGGAGGAUGCGAGCGUUAUCCGGAAUCAUUGGGUUUAAAGGGUCCGUAGGCGGGCUGAUAAGUCAGAGGUGAAAGCGCUUAGCUCAACUAAGCAACUGCCUUUGAAACUGUCAGUCUUGAAUGAUUGUGAAGUAGUUGGAAUGUGUAGUGUAGCGGUGAAAUGCUUAGAUAUUACACAGAACACCGAUAGCGAAGCAUAUUACUAACAAUUUAUUGACGCUGAUGGACGAAAGCGUGGGGGGCGAACAGG
RNAcentral lists this ribosomal RNA (748 nucleotides) under uncultured Capnocytophaga sp. Its description in RNAcentral is "bacterial SSU rRNA". It matches the Rfam family "Bacterial small subunit ribosomal RNA", at positions 28 to 776 of the family's 1533-position model. The record is from RNAcentral. Lineage: Bacteria; Pseudomonadati; Bacteroidota; Flavobacteriia; Flavobacteriales; Flavobacteriaceae.